Molecule: ribosomal RNA, 464 nt
Filed under: uncultured bacterium
Lineage: Bacteria
Description: partial 16S ribosomal RNA
Rfam family: Bacterial small subunit ribosomal RNA
Source: RNAcentral
GACGAACGCUGGCGGCGUGCUUAACACAUGCAAGUCGUACGGUAAGGCCCUUUCGGGGGUACACGAGUGGCGAACGGGUGAGUAACACGUGAGUAACCUGCCCACAACUUUGGGAUAACGCUAGGAAACUGGUGCUAAUACUGGAUAUGUGCUCCUGCUGCAUGGUGGGGGUUGGAAAGCUCCGGCGGUUGUGGAUGGACUCGCGGCCUAUCAGCUUGUUGGUGGGGUAGUGGCCUACCAAGGCGGCGACGGGUAGCCGGCCUGAGAGGGUGACCGGCCACAUUGGGACUGAGAUACGGCCCAGACUCCUACGGGAGGCAGCAGUGGGGAAUAUUGCACAAUGGCGCAAGCCUGAUGCAGCAACGCCGCGUGCGGGAUGACGGCCUUCGGGUUGUAAACCGCUUUCAGCAGGGACGAAGCUUUUUGUGACGGUACCUGCAGAAGAAGCACCGGCUAACUACGUG